Molecule: long non-coding RNA, 1348 nt
Filed under: Junco hyemalis (dark-eyed junco)
Lineage: Eukaryota; Metazoa; Chordata; Aves; Passeriformes; Passerellidae
Description: lncRNA (ENSJHYG00000007613.1)
Source: RNAcentral
CCCAUGCUAUCCCACCCUAAGUUUUCCUCAUAACUCCUCAUGAAUUGCAGAAGGCUUCACAGGACAUUGUUCUGUCCAUCCACAGUCACAAUGAAAAGCAGAUCUUGAACUGACCAGAAUUGCCUGGACAACAGCAAAGUAGGGGCACAGACUUCCUCUGUGCUCACAGAGAUUAUUCAAAUACAUAGUGCAUGGUCACAGACAUGACCUUUCCUGGUCUCUGAGGACUGAUCUCAGCUGCUGAUAUGUCUGUUUGACAGGAAAGUCAGCUGCCAACAAGCAAACAAACAAACUGGACCUGUGUGGGUGCCAGGCUGCACAGCAGUUACAGAAAAUGUGCAAGAAAUCAUCUUUCAGCAUCUGUGUUCUGCCCAGACAAGACAGGUUGGACAGACUAAUCAGACAGUGGCAAAUUCCUGAGGUGCCGACAAAACCAAAUCUUCAGAAAGAUUCUGGGUGUCAAACCUCAGAAGUAAUAACUCAGAAGAUGAGUUAUUACUAAAAAUAACACAGUGCUUGUACAUCAUUGAAGUAACAAAAUGGUAUGUUACACCCACCUGGCUCAUUCAGCACAUGAAGUUUGGGUACUAACGGCAAGGAGAAAUCAUAGCUGGAACUUUGGAAAAAGACAAUGGGAGGAAAAACCUCAAUGAAUCAAUGCAAAAUGUUCCAAUAGCUUGAAUUGUCUGAGAUAGUCACCUUUGGCUGCCUUUCUGGCUGAUGGAGAGAAACAGAGAUUUCAAAGGGUUAUUCAUCUUCUCUUAAACAACAAAAAUCUCCUGUGAACAUAAUCCAAAAAAUCUCUCACAUAUUUUAAGGAGCAUGUAUGGCAACCAACUCUGCAGUAUAUGCUCUGCUACAGACUUCUUAAAUUUGGGAAGAUGAAUACCAUCCUAGUUUUACUGGAUAUGUUACAUUUGAGCUUAGUCUACAUGUGUUUAAAUGGAAGUUUGACAAUGGAAAUCAUCAAAGAAAACAGGAAAAACACUGAAGAUAAAUGAAAUUGAGCAUCUGCUUUACAGCACAGGAUAGAUCACAGAGUCUUUGAGGUUGGAAGGCACCUUUGAAGACUGCCCAAGUGGGGGCAGCUACAGCAGCACUCAAUCCACAUCCAAUCAGAUUUUGAGUAUCUCCAAGGAUGCAGAUUCCAGCACAUCUCCAGGUAGCCUGUGCAGUUCAUAGAAUGGUCAAUCCCACUGUCCAUGUCUCCAGCAAAGAUGCUGAAAAGUGCUGGUCCCAGUACUGACCCCUGAGGAACACAAAUCAUCACUGCUUUCCCCUUUGACAUCAAGACACUGACCACAACUCUCACUGGAUGUGACCAUCCAGCAGAUUCCUUCUCCACUGA